AUUGAACGCUGGCGGCAGGCCUAACACAUGCAAGUCGAGCGGAGCGGCGGACGGGUGAGUAAUGCCUAGGAAUCUGCCUGGUAGUGGGGGAUAACGUCCGGAAACGGGAGCUAAUACCGCAUACUAUCAGAUGAGCCUAGGUCGGAUUAGCUAGUUGGUGGGGUAAAGGCCUACCAAGGCGACGAUCCGUAACUGGUCUGAGAGGAUGAUCCGUCACACGGGAACUUGGACACGGGCCAGACUCCUACGGGAGGCAGCAGUGGGGAAUAUUGCACAAUGGGGGCAAGCCUGAUGCAGCCAUGCCGCGUGUGUGAAGAAGGCCUUCGGGUUGUAAAGCACUUUCAGCGGGGAGGCGUUACCCGCAGAAGAAGCACCGGCUAACUCCGGGCCAGCAGCCGCGGUAAUAC
RNAcentral lists this ribosomal RNA (407 nucleotides) under uncultured bacterium. Its description in RNAcentral is "partial 16S ribosomal RNA". It matches the Rfam family "Bacterial small subunit ribosomal RNA", at positions 29 to 526 of the family's 1533-position model. The record is from RNAcentral.